GACGAACGCUGGCGGCGUGCUUAACACAUGCAAGUCGAACGGAACUUCCCUGCUUUUGUGUGGUGCUCGAGUGGCGAACGGGUGAGUAACACGUGAGUAACCUGCCCUGGAAUUUGGGCUAACUUCAGGAAACUGAGUCUAAUACAGGAUAGGAGACCCUGCAGCAUGGUGGGGGUCGGAGAGUAUCGGCGGUUGGGGAUGGACUCGCGGCUUAUCAGCUGGUUGGGGGGGGAGUGACUUACCAAGGCUGUGACGGGUAGCCGGCCUGAGAGGGUGAACGGCGACAUUGGUACUGAGGUACGGACCAGACUCCUACGGUAGGCAACAGUGGGGAGUAUUACCCAGUGGGCGGGAGCCUGUUGCAGCGGCUCCGCGUGCGGGAUGACGGCCUGCUGGUUGUGAACCACUUUCGCAUGUACCGAAGCGUGAGUGACGGUAAUGAGUAAAAAAGCACCGGCUAACUACGUG
Molecule: ribosomal RNA, 468 nt
Filed under: uncultured bacterium
Lineage: Bacteria
Description: partial 16S ribosomal RNA
Rfam family: Bacterial small subunit ribosomal RNA
Source: RNAcentral